AGCUUUGCGCAGUGGCAGUAUCGUAGCCAAUAAGGUUUAUCCGAGGCGCGAUUAUUGCUAAAAGAAUUUGCAUAUAGUGGUUUUUUUAAUAAUUACUUUAUGUCCGGGAAUCUAUUAGUUCAUUCUAUAGA
This 131-nucleotide small nuclear RNA is filed under the name Ochotona princeps (American pika). RNAcentral's name for it is "U4 spliceosomal RNA (ENSOPRG00000020841.1)". It matches the Rfam family "U4 spliceosomal RNA". From Rfam's summary of the family: U4 small nuclear RNA (U4 snRNA) is a component of the major U2-dependent spliceosome. The structure of U4 snRNA from yeast and human has been reported. Lineage: Eukaryota; Metazoa; Chordata; Mammalia; Lagomorpha; Ochotonidae. The record is from RNAcentral.